Molecule: ribosomal RNA, 661 nt
Filed under: Bacillus sp. (in: firmicutes)
Lineage: Bacteria; Bacillati; Bacillota; Bacilli; Caryophanales; Bacillaceae
Description: bacterial SSU rRNA
Rfam family: Bacterial small subunit ribosomal RNA
Source: RNAcentral
ACGGGUGAGUAACACGUGGGCAACCUGCCUAUAAGACUGGGAUAACUCCGGGAAACCGGGGCUAAUACCGGAUAGUUCUUUCCUCCUCAUGGAGGAAAGGGGAAAGAUGGUUUCGGCUAUCACUUAUAGAUGGGCCCGCGGCGCAUUAGCUAGUUGGUAAGGUAACGGCUUACCAAGGCGACGAUGCGUAGCCGACCUGAGAGGGUGAUCGGCCACACUGGGACUGAGACACGGCCCAGACUCCUACGGGAGGCAGCAGUAGGGAAUCUUCCGCAAUGGACGAAAGUCUGACGGAGCAACGCCGCGUGAACGAAGAAGGCCUUCGGGUCGUAAAGUUCUGUUGUUAGGGAAGAACAAGUAUGAGAGUAACUGCUCGUACCUUGACGGUACCUAACCAGAAAGCCACGGCUAACUACGUGCCAGCAGCCGCGGUAAUACGUAGGUGGCAAGCGUUGUCCGGAUUUAUUGGGCGUAAAGCGCGCGCAGGUGGUUUCUUAAGUCUGAUGUGAAAGCCCACGGCUCAACCGUGGAAGGUCAUUGGAAACUGGGGAACUUGAGUGCAGAAGAGGAAAGUGGAAUUCCAAGUGUAGCGGUGAAAUGCGUAGAUAUUUGGAGGAACACCAGUGGCGAAGGCGACUUUCUGGUCUGUAACUGACACUGA